GGUGAUUGGAGUGUCAUCUCUGUCACUUAUUCUCACGUGACCUUAGGUAAGUCAUCUCUCCGUCUUUACAUCAGAACUAAUACUUCCACUUGCCUCCCAUGAGGCUGAGGAUUCAAUAAGAGGAAAUCGAUACUGGGCACGGCCAGGCUGCGGGAGGCCCGUCCGCGUUGGUGACCUUGGCGCUUCCUUGCAGGCUCAAGGGUUCAUACGGACUGUCUAAACGCAGGUGAUUGGUAUUAUCAUUAGGCACAGAGUCGACACUUCAUCAAUACUGAUGACACGAUUGGAAUAAAACGUCCAAGACUUGAAAGGGAAAAGAGACGAUCCUUCCGCAACCCACUCAACAGCGUCCAGGCCAGCAAUUCCACGAGGCAUUUAGAAAAGAGUCGUGAUGAGGGGAUAAAACCAACCAGCCCACGCUUGGACACGUCCCUCACGAGGUCUUUGAGUUCUGUGGGGUUCCGAGACUAUCCAGGAGGAUCAAGGAGAAAGAAGGGAACAUGGGGCAGUUCUGACCCUGCUCCCCCACGACUUCCGGGCAUAAGGAGGAAUAAUGGCCGUGGCCGUAGCAAUCAUCAUACAACUCCCGGGCCAUGGGGAGGGUUGACCGGAUAUACGGAAACCGUGCAGAAUCACGAAGUGGGUAAGGACCCCGUAAGAGCCCCUGUUAGGGUUACUCUUGUCACACAGUGAAAUUCCAUGACCUUCCGGGUUCCACAAGAGACGGUGGGAGGACUGCGGUCAACACAGUGCAGUGCGACUGUCCUCAUGGAGUCCAUGUUCUAAAGAAAAGAUAUGUCCAUGACCCAGCGGAGAACAAAGAAGUAACUAGAAGCUUCUGGGUUUUCACUGAGGGAAACCGACGGGGCAGGCAGGGUGGGCUGGGGUUCAUCCAGAGACGUGGUCAGGGACAGUCCUUAGCUGAGACCUGAUAAGGAGAAGGAAGGUUCGAGACAGAGGGAAGAGCAACUGUGGCUUUCCGGGCUGCAGAGAAAACUUGAAAAACAUUGUCCCAAUUUGAUGAGCCUCAGUUACUAAUUUUGAAAAAAAAAGAUUAAAAAUGAUUUCUCAACAUUAUAGCCACAGACACGCACGUGGGCUCAGCACACACCAGGUGCUGUGCUAUAGCAAGUGUACGUACCCCAGGAGGCGGGUGCUGUCGCCCUUUCCAUUUCAAAACUGGUGGUGUUAGCAGACAUGGUGUCCCAUACCUGUGAUCCCGGCCACCCAAGGGGCUGACGCAGUGGGAUCGCAAGUUCGAGGCCAGCCUGGACAACUUAGCGAUGACCUUUUCUCAGAUUAACAUUAAAAGGGCUGGGCCUAUGGCUCGGUGAUAGAGUGUUUGCCAAGCCUGGUGGUUCCAUUCUCAGUGCUGCUAACAAACAAAUAAACAAACACCAACAAAAAUGAUCAUGCUGAAGAGUAGUAGAGUCAAGUUCUCCUAAAAAUUCACAAAGUUAGGAAGUGGAAAAAAACCAGGAUCCAAACCCAGGUUUGUCCUCCCUUUGUAAUACAGAGGAAUCGUGUUUGUCCUUAAUAUGCCCUUAACUUAGUCUAGAGCCUUUCUUCCUACUGACAAGAGGAAUUUGAGUUGCUCCUUGUCUUAGUCUGUUCUGUGUUGCCGUAAGAGAGUGCCCGACGCUGGGUG
Molecule: long non-coding RNA, 1648 nt
Filed under: Ictidomys tridecemlineatus (thirteen-lined ground squirrel)
Lineage: Eukaryota; Metazoa; Chordata; Mammalia; Rodentia; Sciuridae
Description: lncRNA (ENSSTOG00000032294.1)
Source: RNAcentral